GCUUUUGUAGUGUAGUGGUUAUCACGCAACCUUCACACGGUUGAGGUCCCCGGUUCGAUCCCGGGCAAAAGCA
Anncaliia algerae PRA339 is the source of this 73-nucleotide transfer RNA. It matches the Rfam family "tRNA". From Rfam's summary of the family: Transfer RNA (tRNA) molecules are approximately 80 nucleotides in length. Their secondary structure includes four short double-helical elements and three loops (D, anti-codon, and T loops). The record is from Rfam. Lineage: Eukaryota; Fungi; Microsporidia; Tubulinosematidae.